RNAcentral lists this long non-coding RNA (1827 nucleotides) under Marmota monax (woodchuck). The record is from RNAcentral. Lineage: Eukaryota; Metazoa; Chordata; Mammalia; Rodentia; Sciuridae.
UUAAAAAAUUCUCUCUCUAAAAAAAAAAAAAAAUUGUGUCCACCUAAAACCGAAAAAUAAUUUAAAAAAAAAAAGAGUAUGAUUUCAAGUUUGAGGUCAACCUCAACAACUUAGACCAUCAGCAUCUCAGCAAGACACUGUCUCAAAACAAAAAAUAAAAAGGGCUGAGGAUGGAAUGUGGCUCAGUGGGUUCAAUCCCCAGCAUCAAAAAACAAACUUAUGGCUUAUGAUUCUGGUCCAAGGUUGAGGGGCCACAUCUUGUGAUGGCCUUCUCACUAGCAGAGUCCCAAGGUAGCACAGAGUAUCACAAGGCAAGAGAGACACGGAGCACACAUGUAUGUCUGUGUCUCUCUCUUGUGCACACUCUCUCUCUCUCAUAAAGUUACCAGUAUUCAAUCAUGGGGGCUCCACCUUGAUGACUUUAUCUAAUCCUAAUCACCUCCCAAAAGUUCUACCCUUUUAAUAUCUCACAAUGGGAUUACACUUCAAUAUGAUUUUUUUCCAGGACAAACCAUGUUACUCUGCAUUUUUCUCGAGCCAAGUUUUAAGGCAGUGAGGGAGGUAACUGGGAAUGGGAUAUGUAUAAGAGUUGCCAGAGUGAUGGGUGGAAUGGGCAAGCCUCUCCCUGUGCAUUCUUGUAUCCCCAUAGCCUGCCCAGCCCCAGGAAAUGCUCAGCCAAGUUACCUCCCUACAAACUCCAGUGGGGCACUGGGUCCACUUUUCUUCCUCCUUCCUCCCCUCCCAGGAAGAUCUCUGAGAGUCAAGGCUUUUCUAUUUGCUUGGUUCCAUUAGCUUGGGGCUGGGGGUGUGAACAAUACAGACAUUCCUUGCUAAGUGCUUGAAUUAGACUAAUAGGUCAUCUAUGCUUUUCUCUGAAGAAGGUCCAGAUUGCUGGUAAACAACCAGACCAGCCCAGGGCCCAGAGCCAAGACGGGGUGGGGGCACAGUAGCUAGACUGAAGCUUUUAAUGGUAUCAGGACUGGCUGAGAUGGUUAAUGCCAUUAGACUAGCUUCUGGGUAGCAAGGUGGGAAGGGCUACUAGCAGCAAUGGUAAAUGGAGAGUUCUGAGUUAUGGUCUAGGAGCCAACUGUUUCUUAAAUAACUAUCUCCAAAUCCACUCAUUCAAUCAUUCAUUCAACAAAUCUUUCCACAACUACUUACCUGCCCCAGGCCUUGAGUAUUUUUAGAAAACACAAGAUCUGUCUCUGCCCAUUCAUUAGCUAUCAUUUAAAUGAAGGAGCAACCAGAGACUCUGGUAAUUAGACCUUAAAUUCAAGUAGUAGCACUCGUCAGUUAUCCUGGUUGAUUUUUUAACACCUAGCUAUUUGACAUCAGGAAACAUGUUUCACCUCUCUAGGAAUCUGUUUUCUCAUCUACAAUGGAGUCAUAGGGAAUUGUGGUUUUUGUUUUGCUUUGUUUCCUUGUGCAGGGGAUUGAACUCAGGGGAGCUCUACCACUGAGCUACAUCCCCAGCCCUUUUUAAAAUUUUUUUAAAAAUAUUUACUUUUCAGUUAUAAGUGCACACACUAUCUUCAUUUUAUUUUUAUGUGGUGCUGAGGAUCGAACCCAGUACCUUACACAUGCUAGGUAGGUGCUCUACCUCUGAGCCACAACCUUUUUAAAAUUUUUUAAACUUUUUAAAAUUUUAUUUUAAGAGAGGGUCUUACUAAGUUGCCCAGACUCUCCUCAAACUUGUGAUACUCCUGCUUCAGCUUCCCGGGUUGUUGGGAUCACAGGCAUGUGCCACAGUGCCCAACUUGCUUUGUUUUUAAUCAGUUCAGUAUCUGCAAUUUAAUUCAGCCAAAUACUAACAGGCAACAUCAAAUU